RNAcentral lists this ribosomal RNA (301 nucleotides) under uncultured bacterium. Its description in RNAcentral is "partial 16S ribosomal RNA". It matches the Rfam family "Bacterial small subunit ribosomal RNA", at positions 509 to 809 of the family's 1533-position model. The record is from RNAcentral.
CAGCAGCCACGGGAAUACGUAGGUGGCAAGCGUUGUCCGGAAUUAUUGGGCGUAAAGCGCACGUAGGCGGACUUUUAAGUCAGGGGUGAAAUCCCGGGGCUCAACCCCGGAACUGCCUUUGAUACUGGAAGUCUUGAGUAUGGUAGAGGUGAGUGGAAUUCCGAGUGUAGAGGUGAAAUUCGUAGAUAUUCGGAGGAACACCAGUGGCGAAGGCGGCUCACUGGACCAUUACUGACGCUGAGGUGCGAAAGCGUGGGGAGCAGACAGGAUUAGAUACCCGAGUAGUCCCUGUCUCUUAUAU